CCCGAGACUCAGUGAAAUUGAACUCGCUGUGAAGAUGCAGUGUACCCGCGGCAAGACGGAAAGACCCCGUGAACCUUUACUAUAGCUUGACACUGAACAUUGAGCCUUGAUGUGUAGGAUAGGUGGGAGGCUUUGAAGUGUGGACGCCAGUCUGCAUGGAGCCGGCCUUGAAAUACCACCCUUUAAUGUUUGAUGUUCUAACGUGGACCCGUGAUCCGGGUUGCGGACAGUGUCUGGUGGGUAGUUUGACUGGGGCGGUCUCCUCCUAAAGAGUAACGGAGGAGCACGAAGGUUGGCUAAUCCUGGUCGGACAUCAGGAGGUUAGUGCAAUGGCAUAAGCCAGCUUGACUGCGAGCGUGACGGCGCGAGCAGGUGCGAAAGCAGGUCAUAGUGAUCCGGUGGUUCUGAAUGGAAGGGCCAUCGCUCAACGGAUAAAAGGUACUCCGGGGAUAACAGGCUGAUACCGCCCAAGAGUUCAUAUCGACGGCGGUGUUUGGCACCUCGAUGUCGGCUCAUCACAUCCUGGGGCUGAAGUAGGUCCCAAGGGUAUGGCUGUUCGCCAUUUAAAGUGGUACGCGAGCUGGGUUUAGAACGUCGUGAGACAGUUCGGUCCCUAUCUGCCGUGGGCGCUGGAGAACUGAGGGGGGCUGCUCCUAGUACGAGAGGACCGGAGUGGACGCAUCACUGGUGUUCGGGUUGUCAUGCCAAUGGCACUGCCCGGUAGCUAAAUGCGGAAGAGAUAAGUGCUGAAAGCAUCUAAGCACGAAACUUGCCCCGAGAUGAGUUCUCCCUGACCCUUUAAGGGUCCUGAAGGAACGUUGAAGACGACGACGUUGAUAGGCCGGGUGUGUAAGCGCAGCGAUGCGUUGAGCUAACCGGUACUAAUGAACCGUGAGG
Molecule: ribosomal RNA, 897 nt
Filed under: Escherichia coli
Lineage: Bacteria; Pseudomonadati; Pseudomonadota; Gammaproteobacteria; Enterobacterales; Enterobacteriaceae
Also listed under: 1 other name
Description: partial 23S ribosomal RNA
Rfam family: Bacterial large subunit ribosomal RNA
Source: RNAcentral